GCCCGGGUGGUGGAACUGGUAGACACAAGGGACUUAAAAUCCCUCGGCCGUAAGGCUGUGCGGGUUCAAGCCCCGCCCUGGGCACCA
Molecule: transfer RNA, 87 nt
Filed under: Candidatus Desulfovibrio trichonymphae
Lineage: Bacteria; Pseudomonadati; Thermodesulfobacteriota; Desulfovibrionia; Desulfovibrionales; Desulfovibrionaceae
Also listed under: 1 other name
Description: tRNA-Leu
Rfam family: tRNA
About the family: Transfer RNA (tRNA) molecules are approximately 80 nucleotides in length. Their secondary structure includes four short double-helical elements and three loops (D, anti-codon, and T loops).
Source: RNAcentral